This 495-nucleotide ribosomal RNA is filed under the name uncultured Glomeromycotina. RNAcentral's name for it is "SSU rRNA". It matches the Rfam family "Eukaryotic small subunit ribosomal RNA", at positions 569 to 1063 of the family's 1831-position model. Lineage: Eukaryota; Fungi; Glomeromycota. The record is from RNAcentral.
AGCAGCCGCGGUAAUUCCAGCUCCAAUAGCGUAUAUUAAAGUUGUUGCAGUUAAAAAGCUCGUAGUUGAAUUUCGGGAUUGACACAUCGGUCGUGCCUUAAGGGGUAUGAACUGGUGUAGUCAAUUUCUCACCUUCUGGAGAACGGCAAUGCCCUUAAUUGGGUGUCGCGGGGAACCAGGACCUUUACUUUGAAAAAAUUAGAGUGUUUAAAGCAGGCAUUUUGCUUGAAUACAUUAGCAUGGAAUAAUAAAAUAGGACGGAUGAUUCUAUUUUGUUGGUUUCUAGGACCACCGUAAUGAUUAAUAGGGAUAGUUGGGGGCAUUAGUAUUCAAUUGUCAGAGGUGAAAUUCUUGGAUUUAUUGAAGACUAACUACUGCGAAAGCAUUUGCCAAGGAUGUUUUCAUUAAUCAAGAACGAAAGUUAGGGGUUCGAAGACGAUCAGAUACCGUCGUAGUCUUAACCAUAAACUAUGCCGACUAGGGAUCGGAUGAUGU